CCUACGGGUGGCAGCAGUGAGGAAUAUUGGUCAAUGGGAGAGAUCCUGAACCAGCCAAGCCGCGUGAGGGAAGACGGCCCUAUGGGUUGUAAACCUCUUGUGUCGGAGAACAAAACCCGGGACGUGUCCCGGACUACGUGUAUCCGAAGACAAAGCAUCGGCAAACUCCGUGCCAGCAUCCGCGGUAAUACGGAGGAUGCGAGCGUGAACCGGAUUUAUUGGGUUAAAGGGGUGCGUAGGCGGUCCGUUAAGUCAGCGGUAAAAUUGCGGGGCUAAACCCCGUCGAGCCGUUGAAACUGGCUGACUUGAGUUGGAGAGAAGCACACGGAAUGCGCGGUGUAGCGGUGAAAGGCAUAGAUAUCGCGCAGAACUCCGAUUGCGAAGGCAGCGUACCGGCGACAGACUGACGCUGAGGCACGAAAGCGUGGGGAUCGAACAGGAUUAGAUACCCCAGUAGUC
Molecule: ribosomal RNA, 459 nt
Filed under: uncultured bacterium
Lineage: Bacteria
Description: partial 16S ribosomal RNA
Rfam family: Bacterial small subunit ribosomal RNA
Source: RNAcentral